RNAcentral lists this ribosomal RNA (882 nucleotides) under Pseudogymnoascus pannorum. RNAcentral's name for it is "partial large subunit ribosomal RNA". It matches the Rfam family "Eukaryotic large subunit ribosomal RNA", at positions 38 to 941 of the family's 3401-position model. The record is from RNAcentral. Lineage: Eukaryota; Fungi; Ascomycota; Leotiomycetes; Thelebolales; Thelebolaceae.
GCAUAUCAAUAAGCGGAGGAAAAGAAACCAACAGGGAUURCCUCAGUAACGGCGAGUGAAGCGGYAACAGCUCAAAUUUGAAAUCUGGCYYCWYGGUCCGAGUUGUAAUUUGUAGAGGAUGCUUCKRGCRUGGUCUGGCCYAAGUUCCUUGGAACRGGACGUCAUASAGGGWGAGARUCCCGUAUGCGGKSAGGUGCCUACKCUCAUGUGAAGCUCCYUCGACGAGUCGAGUUGKUUGGGAAUGCWGCUCAWAAUGGGUGGUWAAUUUCAUCUAAAGMUAAAUAUUGGCCAGAGACCGAUAGCGCACAAGUAGAGUGAUCGAAAGAUGAAAAGYACUUUGGAAAGAGAGUUAAACAGUACGUGAAAUUGUUGAAAGGGAAGCGCUUGCAACCAGACUUGCGCGCGGCCGAUCAUCCGGUGUUCUCACCGGUGCACUCSGCCGUGCUCAGGCCAGCAUCKKUUUCGGCGGUUGGAUAAAGGCCUCAGGAAUGUGGCUCCUCUCGGGGAGUGUUAUAGCCUGGGGUGCAAUGCAGCCUGCUGGGACCGAGGACCGCGCUUCGGCUAGGAUGCUGGCGUAAUGGUUGUAAGCGGCCCGUCUUGAAACACGGACCAAGGAGUCUAACAUCUAUGCGAGUGUUUGGGUGUCAAACCCAUACGCGUAAUGAAAGUGAACGGAGGUGAGAACCCUUAAGGGUGCAUCAUCGACCGAUCCUGAUGUCUUCGGAAGGAUUUGAGUAAGAGCAUAGCUGUUGGGACCCGAAAGAUGGUGAACUAUGCCUGAAUAGGGUGAAGCCAGAGGAAACUCUGGUGGAGGCUCGCAGCGGUUCUGACGUGCAAAUCGAUCGUCAAAUUUGGGUAUAGGGGCGAAAGACUAAUCKAACC